CCUACGGGUUGCAGCAGUGGGGAAUAUUGCACAAUGGGCGCAAGCCUGAUGCAGCCAUGCCGCGUGUAUGAAGAAGGCCUUAGGGUUGUAAAGUACUUUCAGUUGGGAGGAAGGCGUUGAUGCUAAUAUCAUCAACGAUUGACGUUACCAACAGAAGAAGCACCGGCUAACUCCGUGCCAGCAGCCGCGGUAAUACGGAGGGUGCAAGCGUUAAUCGGAAUUACUGGGCGUAAAGCGCACGCAGGCGGUUGAUUAAGUUAGAUGUGAAAUCCCCGGGCUUAACCUGGGAAUGGCAUCUAAGACUGGUCAGCUAGAGUCUUGUAGAAGGGGGUAGAAUUCCAUGUGUAGCGGUGAAAUGCGUAGAGAUGUGGAGGAAUACCGGUGGCGAAGGCGGCCCCGGACAAAGACUGACGCUCAGGUGCGAAAGCGUGGGGAGCAAACAGGAUUAGAUACCCGCGUAGUC
RNAcentral lists this ribosomal RNA (463 nucleotides) under uncultured bacterium. RNAcentral's name for it is "bacterial SSU rRNA". It matches the Rfam family "Bacterial small subunit ribosomal RNA", at positions 338 to 795 of the family's 1533-position model. The record is from RNAcentral.